RNAcentral lists this ribosomal RNA (254 nucleotides) under uncultured bacterium. RNAcentral's name for it is "partial 16S ribosomal RNA". It matches the Rfam family "Bacterial small subunit ribosomal RNA", at positions 524 to 776 of the family's 1533-position model. The record is from RNAcentral.
UACGAAGGGGGCUAGCGUUGCUCGGAAUCACUGGGCGUAAAGGGCGCGUAGGCGGCCGAUUAAGUCGGGGGUGAAAGCCUGUGGCUCAACCCCCGGAACUGCCUUCGAUACUGGGUAUCUUGAGUUCGGAAGAGGUGAGUGGAAUUGCGAGUGUAGAGGUGAAAUUCGUAGAUAUUCGCAGGAACACCAGUGGCGAAGGCGGCUCACUGGUCCGAUACUGACGCUGAGGUGCGAAAGCGUGGGGAGCAAACAGG